GUAAAGGCGCGCGGGAACAUGGGGCUGUACGCUGCGGUGGCAGGCGUGCUGGCCGGCGUGGAGAGCCGCCAGGGCUCUAUCAAGGGGCUGGUGUACUCCAGCAACUUCCAGCCUUGAUGACUUACAAGCCCUCAAGGGGAAGCAUUUUCUCCUGGACUCCUUGAUGCCGGAGCUGCUGGUGUUUCCCGCCCAGACAGAUCUGCAUGAACACCCACUGUACCGGGCCGGACACCUCAUUCUGCAGGACAGGGCCAGCUGUCUCCCAGCCAUGCUGCUGGACCCCUGCCAGGCUCCCAUGUCAUCGAUGCCUGUGCCGCCCCAGGCAAUAAGACCAGUCACUUGGCUGCUCUUCUGAAGAACCAAGGGAAGAUCUUUGCCUUUGACCUGGAUGCCAAGCGGCUGGCAUCCAUGGCCACGCUGCUGGCCUGGGUUGGCGUCUCCUGCUGUGAGCUGGCUGAGGAGGACUUCCUGGCGGUCUCCCCCUUAGAUCCGCGCUAUCGUGAGGUCCACUAUGUCCUGCUGGAUCCUUCCUGCAGUGGCUCGGGUAUGCCGAGCAGACAGCUGGAGGAUCCCGGGGCAGGGACACCUAGCCCGGUGCGUCUGCAUGCCCUGGCAGGGUUCCAGCAGCGAGCCCUGUGCCACGCGCUCACUUUCCCUUCCCUGCAGCGGCUCGUCUACUCCAUGUGCUCCCUCUGCCAGGAGGAGAAUGAAGACAUGGUACCAGAUGCGCUGCAGCAGAACCCGGGCGCCUUCAGGCUAGCUCCCGCCCUGCCUGCCCGGCCCCACCGAGGCCUGAGCACGUUCCCGGGUGCCGAGCACUGCCUCCGGGCUUCCCCCAAGACCACGCUUAGCGGUGGCUUCUUCGUUGCUGUAAUUGAACGGGUCGAGAUGCCGAUGUGAGUGAGUGGGGGCAUGCUUGGGAGGCGCAGGAUGGUACUGGCACAUCUAACAUCUACACUUCUCUAGCUCAGCCUCACAGGCCAAAGCAUCAGCACCAGAACGCACACCCAGCCCAGCCCCAAAGAGAAAGAAGAGACAGCAAAGAGCCGCAGCCGGUGCUUGCACACCGCCUUGCACAUAGCAGAGGCUCCAGGCUGACUCCUUCCUGGUGGGAAAGGAAGAUGCCUGUCCUCUCCGUGGAGGACCCUGGGCCCUCACCGCAGGCAGCAGUUUGCAUUUUGAAAGGUUAUUGGGUCCCUUCCUCGGGCUGUGUUCUUGCUGGUGAGCAAAAGUGUUGCCUGCAGAAAUAAAAUGCAGAACGUACUCUACGAUA
Molecule: long non-coding RNA, 1273 nt
Organism: Homo sapiens (human)
Lineage: Eukaryota; Metazoa; Chordata; Mammalia; Primates; Hominidae
Gene: NSUN5P1
Product: NSUN5 pseudogene 1
Source: Ensembl